This is a long non-coding RNA of Astyanax mexicanus (Mexican tetra), 523 nucleotides long. RefSeq lists it as uncharacterized. Lineage: Eukaryota; Metazoa; Chordata; Actinopteri; Characiformes; Acestrorhamphidae. The transcript is spliced from 2 exons. The record is from RefSeq and is a predicted model, not a curated record.
UGACAACGCGCUCAGGGUUACGUCACCCUGCCCGGGAACAAGGAGACGGAGGUUUGAGCAGCGGCAAAAAUGGAAGUGGCGAGAGAAAACAGCGAUUUUAAAGGAAUAAAAGCAUUUUAUGUUCGAACUGUGACCUGUACUCGGUGCAGUGCCAAAACAGCGCGUUUUAAUGCUGCACCAUCUGAGCCGAGGACACCUGAGACGCGAGGACGCCGAGAGAGCAGGUCCUGAUAUAUUUUGGAGAAGCGGCUUGGUGGUAAAAGAAUGCAGCACACUGAUCCAACACUGGCAGAACUGACAACGUCUCAGAAGCUAAGAUGCACAACACAAAGACGAUGUUUAUGCCUUUUUUAUUGAUUUAUACCCUAUAUUUGUUAUUUACAAGAAAUCCAAAUGUGAAAGUAAUGUAAUUAAAUUUAUUUUUUUUAUUGUGGUAUUUAUUUAUUUAUUGUGUUUUAUUUAUUUGUAUUUGCAAUUUGGAAAUGUUGUGAAUUUAAAAAUAUAACUUAUCUAAAAAAGGAAA